GAUCCCGUAGCUCAGCUGGAUAGAGCACCGGUUUCCUAAACCGGGGGUCGCAGGUUCAAAUCCUGCCGGGAUCGCCA
Molecule: transfer RNA, 77 nt
Filed under: Hyphomonadaceae bacterium
Lineage: Bacteria; Pseudomonadati; Pseudomonadota; Alphaproteobacteria; Hyphomonadales; Hyphomonadaceae
Also listed under: 1 other name
Description: tRNA-Arg
Rfam family: tRNA
About the family: Transfer RNA (tRNA) molecules are approximately 80 nucleotides in length. Their secondary structure includes four short double-helical elements and three loops (D, anti-codon, and T loops).
Source: RNAcentral